AGUGAACGCUGGCGGUAGGCCUAACACAUGCAAGUCGAACGGCAGCACAGUAAGAGCUUGCUCUUACGGGUGGCGCGUGGCGGACGGGUGAGGAAUACAUCGGAAUCUACUUUUUCGUGGGGGAUAACGUAGGGUAACUUACGCUAAUACCGCAUACGACCUACGGGUGAAAGCAGGGGAUCUUCGGACCUUGCGCGAUUGAAUGAGCCGAUGUGGGAUUAGCUAGUUGGCGGGGUAAAGGCCCACCAAGGCGACGAUCCGUAGCUGGUCUGAGAGGAUGAUCAGACACACUGGAAGUGAGACACGGUCCAGACUCCUACGGGAGGAAGCAGUGGGGAAUAUUGGACGAUGGAGGAAAGCCUGAUCCAGCCAUACCGCGUGAGUGAUGAAGGCCUUCGGGUUGUAAAGCCCUUUUGUUGGGAAAGAAAAGCAGCAGGUUAAUCCCCCGCUGUUCUGACGGUACCCAAAGAAUAAGCACCGGCUAACUUCGUG
Molecule: ribosomal RNA, 492 nt
Filed under: uncultured bacterium
Lineage: Bacteria
Description: partial 16S ribosomal RNA
Rfam family: Bacterial small subunit ribosomal RNA
Source: RNAcentral